This 28-nucleotide small RNA is filed under the name Bombyx mori (domestic silkworm). RNAcentral describes it as "ovarian small RNA-23523". The record is from RNAcentral. Lineage: Eukaryota; Metazoa; Arthropoda; Insecta; Lepidoptera; Bombycidae.
UAUCAGCUGAGGUUCGAUUGGUCCUCGU